Molecule: ribosomal RNA, 253 nt
Filed under: uncultured bacterium
Lineage: Bacteria
Description: partial 16S ribosomal RNA
Rfam family: Bacterial small subunit ribosomal RNA
Source: RNAcentral
UACGAAGGGGGCUAGCGUUGUUCGGAAUUACUGGGCGUAAAGCGCACGUAGGCGGAUACUUAAGUCAGGGGUGAAAUCCCGGGGCUCAACCCCGGAACUGCCUUUGAUACUGGGUAUCUCGAGUCCGGAAGAGGUGAGUGGAAUUCCGAGUGUAGAGGUGAAAUUCGUAGAUAUUCGGAGGAACACCAGUGGCGAAGGCGGCUCACUGGUCCGGUACUGACGCUGAGACGCGAAAGCGUGGGGAGCAAACAGG